GCCUUCUUAGCUCAGUGGUAGAGCGCGUGGCUUUUAACCACGUGGUUGUGGGUUUGAUCCCCAUAGACGGUG
Molecule: transfer RNA, 72 nt
Organism: Ipomoea nil (Japanese morning glory)
Lineage: Eukaryota; Viridiplantae; Streptophyta; Magnoliopsida; Solanales; Convolvulaceae
Rfam family: tRNA
About the family: Transfer RNA (tRNA) molecules are approximately 80 nucleotides in length.
Source: Rfam